GGUGGAGGCUGAGCUGCACCUGCUGACAGCAGAGGAGGCGGAGAAAUCCCCCGCAGGGCUGGCCCGCAAUGAGCCCGACCCACUGGAGAAACCCAACCGUCCCGACACCAGCUUCAUCUGGUUCCUGAACCCCCUGAAGUCCAUCCGUUACUUCAUCUGGCACACGUACCGCUGGCUCCUCCUGAAACUCCUCCUCCUCCUCCUUGUGCUCCUCCUGGUUGGCCUCUUCCUCUACUCCAUGCCGGGCUACCUGGUCAAGAAGUUGCUGGGGGCCUGAGGCACCAUCCCUUUGUUCAUGUCGCCCCGACACCUCCUUCAUCUGGUUCCUCAACCCACUCAAGUCCAUCAAGUACCUCAUCUGUACCCGCUACAAGUGGCUCAUCAUUAAGAUCGUGCUGGCGCUGCUGCUCCUCAUCAUGGUGGGACUUUUCCUCUACUCCAUGCCUGGCUACAUGGUCAAGAAGCUGUUGGGAGCGUGAGGCCGCCCGGGGCCGGGGCCACGUACCCGCUCGCCAUGCGCAGCGGCCCGGCUGGGGCGGCGCUGGGAUGGCUUGGGGGAAGAGCCCGCAGCUUCUCCUUGUUUGCGUUUCCUUCUGCGCGGCUCCCUUUGGUGCAUUUCUCUCCUGAGGGCGGAGGGAACGACGUUGGGCCUGGGGUGCCGGGGUCCCUUAGCGCUUUCCCUGGGUGAAUGCAGCUGCCCAGGUCAGCGAAUACAGGACGGCCAAGCUGGCUCUAGGAUUUCACUUCCCACAGCUAAGAUCCUCUUAGCCGGGCCCAGUUCUGGCUCCCAGAGCCCCAGGAGGCCAGUCGCCCACGCUCACGGCUGGCCUGGCAAGGAGGGGGGAUGUGAGGCUCUGGUUUGUUCCAUGGCCAGCACCGCCCUGGGGAGCAGGUGCCAGGAAGAACGGGGGUGUUGCACCCUGAGAGGUCACAUCAGAAGAGCCUGAGGAGAGGAACUGUGGGACUCUCCAGACAAGCAGCCCCCUCUGCUCAAGUCCCCCAGCCCACAAUCCCAUGCUGGCUCGGCGGCUGCCCAUGACCAAAGCCCCCAGGCAGGGGUGACAGUCACCCCGGAUGCGGUGGAGAAAGCAGCAGCAGAGCCGGGGAAACAUGCCCAGGCUGUGAGGAGGCAGCUCUCCAGGCUGCCUGCCGUCAUCGUGUUGGGUGGGCCGAGACCCAGCCUGGGCCCGUUUUCCAUCCCCCUGACACCUCAGCCACUCCAUGGGGGCUGCUGCACAGCUUGUGUGGGAACCCUUUGGUGCUGGCUGUAGGGCCACCCAGCAUGUCCCUUUUCUAGCCCCGAUGCCCAGUAAACGCACCGGGGCCUGUUGCCGCAGGGGAGCCUGGGAGGGUCCCUGCUGGCCCCAACCCCUGCUAAUGCUUGGCCUGACGUGUUAUAGCCGUUCCCUUCCCUCCGGGCCUGAGAGCCGUGUCUGGUGUUUGCUCAUUUCUGGCCCUGGGUCUGAGUCCCUCGCUGCUGGGGACGAGAGCCACUAG
Molecule: non-coding RNA, 1497 nt
Organism: Chelonoidis abingdonii (Abingdon island giant tortoise)
Lineage: Eukaryota; Metazoa; Chordata; Testudines; Testudinidae
Source: RefSeq, a predicted model, not a curated record